GACGAACGCUGGCGGCGUGCUUAACACAUGCAAGUCGAACGGAAAGGCCCUGCUUUUGUGGGGUGCUCGAGUGGCGAACGGGUGAGUAACACGUGAGUAACCUGCCCUUGACUUUGGGAUAACUUCAGGAAACUGGGGCUAAUACCGGAUAGGAGCUCCUGCUGCAUGGUGGGGGUUGGAAAGUUUCGGCGGUUGGGGGUGGACUCGCGGCUUAUCAGCUUGUUGGUGGGGUAGUGGCUUACCAAGGCUUUGACGGGUAGCCGGCCUGAGAGGGUGACCGGCCACAUUGGGACUGAGAUACGGCCCAGACUCCUACGGGAGGCAGCAGUGGGGAAUAGUGCACAAUGGGCGGAAGCCUGAUGCAGCAACGCCGCGUGCGGGAUGACGGCCUUCGGGUUGUAAACCGCUUUCGCCUGUGACGAAGCGUGAGGGAGGGUAAUGGGUAAAGAAGCACCGGCUAACUACGUG
Molecule: ribosomal RNA, 468 nt
Filed under: uncultured bacterium
Lineage: Bacteria
Description: partial 16S ribosomal RNA
Rfam family: Bacterial small subunit ribosomal RNA
Source: RNAcentral